Molecule: unclassified non-coding RNA, 392 nt
Filed under: Hevea brasiliensis (rubber tree)
Lineage: Eukaryota; Viridiplantae; Streptophyta; Magnoliopsida; Malpighiales; Euphorbiaceae
Source: RNAcentral
GGGAUAAGGGCCACGGAUUUGAACCAAGGAGUUGUUUACGGAGUCCGAACCAAUGAGACUGCAUCACAUGAGGAGCUUUGCAAUCGAUUUGAUUACGAUGGUAUCUUUGGGACAGCUCUCAAUAGAUUCUGUGUACAAGCUGCUGUCGGACACCCGCUUACAGUAUAUGGCAAAGGUGGUCAGACCCGAGGCUAUCUUGAUAUCAGGGACACAGUUCAAUGUGUCGAGCUGGCCAUCGCCAAUCCUGCAAACCCUGGUGAGUUCAGGGUGUUCAACCAGUUCACCGAGCAGUUCUCGGUUAACCAACUUGCGCAGUUAGUCACCAGCGCAGGUGAAAAGCUAGGAGUAGAAGUCCGAGCAUUAUCUGUGCCCAAUCCACGGGUGGAAGCGGA